UCUCACCGGCGUUGAAGCCACUAAAAGGGAAGGGUGGAGGAGGAAAAGGUGGUCUUGCUCAAGGCCAGGGCUCCGAUAUAACACAUGUAGAGGAUGCAAUGGAAGUGGCAACAUCCUUUGCGGCAAUGAAAUUGAGCUGAUAAAAAAAAUAGUUUAAUAUUUCAGUGUAGACUGGUGAAAGCAUGGCGGUGAUGGUUCAGUCCCAACAUUUUGAUGUUUUUUAAUAUAUCACUUGAAUGAAACAGCUGAGGAAAUAACAUUUGGUGCUACAGAAGCACGACUAUGUUUUUUCUUUAUUAGCCACAAACAUUGUGUUACCAAAGAGAGAGGAGAAGUUUUUUCUUCUUAAAAUAUUGAUAUUUUUUUUGAAAUGGCUGAAGUUUAGGAUGUUGGUUUGCUUGACUAUACUGUAAGAAGACAUUGAAUCAUAUAAUUAAUCUGAUUGGGAGAUGAACCCCUCAUCUUAUGAAUCUUAA
Camellia sinensis is the source of this 476-nucleotide non-coding RNA. NCBI's taxonomy places the organism in Eukaryota, Viridiplantae, Streptophyta, Magnoliopsida, Ericales, Theaceae. The record is from RefSeq and is a predicted model, not a curated record.